AACGAACGCUGGCGGCGCGCUUAACACAUGCAAGUCGAACGAGAAGGCGUAGCAAUACGCUUGUACAGUGGCGAGCGGGUGGGUAAUACGUGAGCGACCUACCCUCGAGUAGGGAAUAACCCGCCGAAAGGCGGGCUAAUGCCGCGUACGCUCCCAUCUUUAUGGAGGUGGAAGGAAAGCCGUGCCGUGGGCACGGCGCUCAAGGAUGGGCUCACGUCCUAUCGGCUUGUUGGUAGGGAACGGCCUACCAAGGCUCCGACGGGUAGCUGGUCUGAGAGGACGAUCAGCCACACUGGCACUGCGACACGGGCCAGACUCCUACGGGAGGCAGCAGUGAGGAAUAUUGCGCAAUGGGCGAAAGCCUGACGCAGCGACGCCGCGUGGGGGAUGAAGGUCUUCGGAUUGUAAACCCCUUUCGGGAGGGAAGAUGGGACGGGCAACCGUUCGGACGGUACCUCCAGAAGCAGCCACGGCUAACUUCGUGCCAGCAGCCGCGGUAAC
RNAcentral lists this ribosomal RNA (501 nucleotides) under uncultured bacterium. RNAcentral's name for it is "bacterial SSU rRNA". It matches the Rfam family "Bacterial small subunit ribosomal RNA", at positions 28 to 524 of the family's 1533-position model. The record is from RNAcentral.